AUUGAACGCUGGCGGCAGGCCUAACACAUGCAAGUCGAACGAGCGGCGGACGGGUGAGUAAUGUCUGGGAAACUGCCUGAUGGAGGGGGAUAACUACUGGAAACGGUAGCUAAUACCGCAUACCAUCGGAUGUGCCCAGAUGGGAUUAGCUAGGAGGUGGGGUAACGGCUAACCUAGGAGACGAUCCCUAGCUGGUCUGAGAGGAUUACCAGCAACACUGGAACUGCGAAACGGUCCAGCCUCCGCCGGGAGGCAGCAGUGGGGAAUAUUGCACAAUGGGCGCAAUCCUGAUGCAGCCAUGCCGCGUGUAUGAAGAGGGCCUUCGGGUUGUAAAGUACUUGCAGCGGGGAGGCGUUACCGGCAGAAGAAGCACCGGCUAACUCCGUGCCAGCAGCCGCGGUAAUAC
This 406-nucleotide ribosomal RNA is filed under the name uncultured bacterium. Its description in RNAcentral is "partial 16S ribosomal RNA". It matches the Rfam family "Bacterial small subunit ribosomal RNA", at positions 30 to 526 of the family's 1533-position model. The record is from RNAcentral.